GGGCGUGUGGCGGAAUGGUAGACGCGAUAGACUCAAAAUCUAUUGAGGGCAACUUCAUGGGGGUUCAAGUCCCUUCACGCCUACCA
RNAcentral lists this transfer RNA (86 nucleotides) under Alphaproteobacteria bacterium MarineAlpha5_Bin9. RNAcentral's name for it is "tRNA-Leu". It matches the Rfam family "tRNA". From Rfam's summary of the family: Transfer RNA (tRNA) molecules are approximately 80 nucleotides in length. Their secondary structure includes four short double-helical elements and three loops (D, anti-codon, and T loops). Lineage: Bacteria; Pseudomonadati; Pseudomonadota; Alphaproteobacteria. The record is from RNAcentral.